This 648-nucleotide long non-coding RNA is filed under the name Setaria viridis. RNAcentral describes it as "long non-coding RNA (SVIR_LNC004570)". The record is from RNAcentral. Lineage: Eukaryota; Viridiplantae; Streptophyta; Magnoliopsida; Poales; Poaceae.
GAGAACAAAUGCUUCGGACGGUCCACCACCGGCAAGUACCACAUCACCAGGGCAGGGACUCUACGCUGAGUCAUCGUGUCAGUACCUAUACAGGACUCGUCCUCCACUUGAGAACUAGCACUUUUCUUUGCACCCUUCUUCCUCUUAUUCCCGAUGGAGAAACCAGCAUGGUCCUGAUAGAAAUCGGCAUUACUUUUGUAACGACUAGCAUCGCAAUUUGGACACUUUUCCAAUGCAGCAUACUCGCCGCAGUACAUAUGCAAUGGUCCCUACAUGCAUGUAUUCUUUGCACAUGCAUCUUCAAUGGAUUGAUAAUCUUUUUUGCUUCGUAUGUGUUUUUGGCAAAAAGAUAGGCUUCGGGAGAAAAUUGCCUAGCAGAAUAAGGAGAUCAUUGAAACUAUUGUCUGACCAGCCAAAUUUAGCCUUUAGGAUCAGAAGUGAAGGACGAAACACAACACUAUCCACUCAUUCCCACAUCCCACAUACAUACGGUCCUUUGCUGCCUUCUUGAAUGUCUCGAAAUUCUCUAACCCUUUAGAACUCCCUAGCAACACUUCCGGUUCAAUGUAGCGCAACAUGUCUGUAACAUACCUGGUUUUAGUGAGACUUUAAAAAGGCUCAUUAGAAGUAAUUAAGACCUAAAACCAC